GACUCACUGACAAGCUGCUGGAAGCCUUUUUUCCAACAAAGUGCUGAACUCAACUUUUUAGCUCCACUAGAGGGCGACAUUAUGAAGUAGGCGGUGCACUACUUGUGCUCUCUGUUCAAGCAUUGUGUCAAUAAUAACUGCUGCUGUGAAGAGAAGAAUUGUCAGACUCAGUGUUGAACAUCAGCUACUUUCUCCUGUUGCUUUAAACCUUCUUGUAGAGAUGGAACAUUGGCUGUGGAUGAUUCUUGCUGCUCUUUUCUUUGAGUGUAAAGGAGAAGACAGAGUGAUCCAGGAAACAGGAGAUGUCAUUGCUGCUGAAGGAGAGACAGUUAUACUCCCUUGUACAUAUGAAACCAGUUACUCUGGUUCUACUCUGUUCUGGUAUAAACAAGAAGCAAAUGAUUUUCCAAAGCUUCUGCUGCAGCGCGUCUCAACAACAGCAGGUAAUCCUGCAGAAAAACAGAAAGAGAGAAUCGAUGCUGUGGCCAACAAGACAUCAGUUCCUCUGGAGAUCCAGAAGCUUCAGCUGUCUGACUCUGCUGUGUACUACUGUGCUGUGAAGCCCACAGUGACAGGAAACAGCACAACUCUGUACAAAAACCUUUGGAGCAAAGACAACAGAAUACUCCACAACAUCCACUAGAGGGAGUCAAACACUGUCACAGUAUCUUACAGUUGUUAACUCACAUUUCUCUACACUGAGUCCAAUUUUUCAAGACUCUUCACACAGUCAGCACAACAGCAGUCAGUGUGGACGACUCUGUGGAUCACUUUCCACUGCUCGGACACAAAAUGCAGACAAUCACCACAUCUUCAAACUUGGUUCAAAACCUAAAACUUCAUAAAAAUGACUGUAAAUCAGCCUGAUACUUUCUACAUUCUCUACAUCUGCACCUACAAAGAAAUAAAACUAUGAAUUGUCAUGAACUCCAAACU
Molecule: non-coding RNA, 936 nt
Organism: Toxotes jaculatrix (banded archerfish)
Lineage: Eukaryota; Metazoa; Chordata; Actinopteri; Toxotidae
Source: the annotation of a RefSeq genome assembly